GCUGAGCCAGAGAUCUCCAUUGUGUAUUUGUGCAGUGGCUUUUGGAACCCAAGUAAAGGACCUUUCAUUUCGGGUGAAAUUCCUCUUGGUAGAGUUGACCUAUGCUGGUCUUUGGAGAGGUGGAUGAGAUUCCUGAUUUCCGUAAUUAUCUGUGCCUGGAGGUGUAGACAGGAAAGGAUCACUGGAGGAGACUGGAAACACGGUGCCCAGGAGUGGGGAGUGUACCUCAGGGGCCAGGGAAAGAACUUCCUUCUGACAGCCGGACACAGCCUUCUGUGUGGCAUGACCACAUCUCAGACCCGGAACCAAAGAUGCUGAUUGCUCUCAGCAGCCUGCACUCUCCCCUCCCGGGCCUCCCCAGCGGGUUAUCAUGCUGACUCAAGGAACACAACCCCCAUCUGGAUGCAGUCCAAACGCCAGAUGUGCCCCCGAUUAGUGUCGGUCUGGGGAAUGUUUCCACGACUGAAAGAUCUGCAAUGGGCUCCUGUCUAUUCUGAUUUUCUUAUGGCAGCCAUCACCUCCACUAUGGAAAGAAAAAUGAACGAUGAUGUUGUGAUGGGCCGGGCUGCCGUGUUUCAGCCUAUUUACAGGUCAUACCCAUUUCAGUAGACUGUGACACUUCAGCGACCUGCAAAUUCUACACAUUAGAGUUCAGACUUUACACAAACGCUGUACACCCAAGACGUGGACGGGGCGUUUCUACCAGCAACACCCAACUCCCAACAAAAGACACAGGCUCUGUCAGAGGAUGAAAACUACUAAUGAAGAUGCAUUCCAGAUGAUAUGUUGGAUCAUCCCCUAGGAAAAAAAAUGAUUCAUGAAUAAUUUCAUGGCAAUCACACCAAAAAAAGAGAGUAAUAAUUUCCUCAA
Molecule: long non-coding RNA, 870 nt
Organism: Aethalodelphis obliquidens (Pacific white-sided dolphin)
Lineage: Eukaryota; Metazoa; Chordata; Mammalia; Artiodactyla; Delphinidae
Exons: 5
Source: RefSeq, a predicted model, not a curated record